Fukomys damarensis (Damara mole-rat) is the source of this 71-nucleotide non-coding RNA. NCBI's taxonomy places the organism in Eukaryota, Metazoa, Chordata, Mammalia, Rodentia, Bathyergidae. The record is from Rfam.
GGGAAUGUGGCUCAGUGGUGGAGCACUUACCUAGCAUGUACAAGGCUCUGGGUCCAAUCCCCAGCACCCCA